GAUGAACGCUGGCGGCGUGCCUAAUACAUGCAAGUCGAGCGAACAGAUGAGGAGCUUGCUCCUCUGACGUUAGCGGCGGACGGGUGAGUAACACGUGGAUAACCUACCUAUAAGACUGGGAUAACUUCGGGAAGCCGGAGCUAAUACCGGAUAAUAUAUUGAACCGCAUGGUUCAAUAGUGAAAGACGGUUUUGCUGUCACUUAUAGAUGGAUCCGCGCCGCAUUAGCUAGUUGGUAAGGUAACGGCUUACCAAGGCAACGAUGCGUAGCCGACCUGAGAGGGUGAUCGGCCACACUGGAACUGAGACACGGUCCUGACUCCUACGGGAGGCAGCAGUAGGGAAUCUUCCGCAAUGGGCGAAAGCCUGACGGAGCAACGCCGCGUGAGUGAUGAAGGUCUUCGGAUCGUAAAACUCUGUUAUUAGGGAAGAACAAAUGUGUAAGUAACUAUGCACGUCUUGACGGUACCUAAUCAGAAAGCCACGGCUAACUACGUG
RNAcentral lists this ribosomal RNA (497 nucleotides) under uncultured bacterium. RNAcentral describes it as "partial 16S ribosomal RNA". It matches the Rfam family "Bacterial small subunit ribosomal RNA", at positions 28 to 507 of the family's 1533-position model. The record is from RNAcentral.